RNAcentral lists this ribosomal RNA (491 nucleotides) under uncultured bacterium. RNAcentral's name for it is "partial 16S ribosomal RNA". It matches the Rfam family "Bacterial small subunit ribosomal RNA", at positions 29 to 507 of the family's 1533-position model. The record is from RNAcentral.
AGUGAACGCUGGCGGUAGGCCUAACACAUGCAAGUCGAACGGCAGCACAGUAAGAGCUUGCUCUUACGGGUGGCGAGUGGCGGACGGGUGAGGAAUACAUCGGAAUCUACUUUUUCGUGGGGAUAACGUAGGGAAACUUACGCUAAUACCGCAUACGACCUACGGGUGAAAGCAGGGGAUCUUCGGACCUUGCGCGAUUGCAUGAGCCGAUGUCGGAUUAGCUAGUUGGCGGGGUAAAGGCCCACCAAGGCGACGAUCCGUAGCUGGUCUGAGAGGGUGAUCAGCCACACUGGAACUGAGACACGGUCCAGACUCCUACGGGAGGCAGCAGUGGGGAAUAUUGGGCAAUGGGCGCAAGCCUGAUCCAGCCAUACCGCGUGGGUGAAGAAGGCCUUCGGGUUGUAAAGCCCUUUUGUUGGGAAAGAAAAGCAGCAGGUUAAUACCCCGCUGUUCUGACGGUACCCAAAGAAUAAGCACCGGCUAACUUCGUG